AGAGGUUUCGGUGUUAUCGUAUCAAAUUUUUCUUACCAGAGUUUCACCUACAUUGACUACGAGCCUGCGUACCUUUAUUUGAACAUUGUCGCAAAAGAACUCCAUUGAAUAUAUACAACAGUCGAAUAAACGUAUGAAGAUGGUGCAUUGUGUUGAAAGGCGAUGUGAGUGGAUAACUUCUGUGUGCAACGAUCUUUUUUGCGCAAAGAACGGUGUCCCUAGGCAGUUGUCUAUGACAGAAGUUCCGCUUGCAAAAAGAAGUAGCCGCUGAUCGCUUCUGCUUAAGCUAAGGUUUAAGUGAAGAUGUAACCUCGACGGUAAAGGCGAUAACUUUGCAAUACGGCUCUACUCUAUUAAACAACAAUUUCAAACAGCCUGUGGAUAAAUUUGGUUCACGGAACAUAACUGUGUCUGUUACACGUUCAGCAAAACGUUGCACGAAACCUAUCGCUACAAGUAUCAUUUGAGGGGAACGAUUAUUAAGCGUUGGUCAAAAAUGAUUUGGCGCAGUAAAUUUCUGUUGUAGCUGUUGGCCUAUUCAAGGCCGGGAUCCUGGACACGCUUCAACAGAGGCACAUCAUUCGAGCGAAACGUGUUGAAUAUAUGGAUGUAUGGGCACACCUGAUCCGCCACCCCUCACAGAAGUGCCGAUCGUAUUUAUCAGAGCGGUAACUAUUCGGCCAGCUGUAUUUGCACAUACACUGUAUUUGUGAUGCACGAAGCUGGAAGCAACAAUUGAUAAUCCAUCAAAUAGAACUAAUUGCACGUUUUCUAUUCAUCGACGGAAAAAACAGAAACGCUCAUAAACGAAGAGCUUCAACGGGAGCUUAGCCAUGUCGCAUCUCAGCAUAAGCUCGGUUCGACAAACCGUAUACUUAUUCGUGUCUUCGAAGAAAGCGGACCAUUCUAAAUCUGCACGGGGGCUGGGGCUAUCUCGAAGAAAAAUAGAUGGAGAUCGAUCGAACGCAUGCCACUCUAAACACGUCUCUUCAACAGAUGUAUAAGGAACAGCAUCGCGUCCAGUGGUAGAACAUCUGACGUAAACGUUCUUUUAGAUGCGAGUCUUAUCGAGUAAGCUGCCUGAUUGCGCUCUAUGGUACUUAAUUGUAUGAAGUGGCGUAAUCGGAAAAAGUAUUGCGAUAGACGUCUAUCAAACAUCUCACCGGAUGGGAGCCGUUGAAGAUGUUUACGUGUAACUUAAUGUAACUCACAUGACAAAUGAUCAGAUGUCGCGGAUAGUUAAAGGAGACGAUGACUAUUAUUUUAGAUUGUUUUAAGUACAAGUCAUUUUGCCAAAGGUAAGUUAACAGGUUUAUUUCAAAAGCCGCGAGUUUAGCGGCGAAUCGAGACUGUUCCCAGCCGCAACCAUCCUCACAUGGCCCGCACCUAGAGGAUCGUCCAACACAACUUGCAACAACUGCAAAGCAUUUCUCUUCCCUUGUAGAAAAGUAGGCUAGGCUUAAGCUUUAAAUUUAAAAAUUCGAGGCAGAGCUUCAGAAUAUAGCAAGUCUAAAAAAGGUCGCAUUUUUCGAAUUAACGUUAGGACUCAGGCCCUUGGCGAAGACGUUAUUCCAGCAUUGAAAGUGCUGCUAUUAAACGUACGCUUGCACUUAUGAUACCCUUAACGUUUAUGUACGGUAUUUGUCGCGCUUAUUGUUACAUUAGUUCGCCAAUCUGUAACCUGCAGCCUGUGAAAUCACAAAAAGCUGAUAAGCACCUUUGCUUACCAUUCUUGAUGGAAUUCGAUGUCGUUUUUUUUUAUUAUUUCUAUCUCGUAUUAAGCAGUCUUUACAUUUGCACGUCCACACAAAAGUAAUGAUUAAAUAGAUAAGAAAAGCCCUUCUUCUUGAACAGUAAUAUCCUACUAACAGUAAUAUCUUGCUCCUAUAUCGGCAUCUGACAGACUUACUUCCGAAGAAACUUCCUUUGUUAGCAUGAAAACCUGUUUGUGAUCGAAUGUCGUCUUAACAAACUUCUGCUGUUCAUUCGAGUUGUUUGUGUCCAGUUUUUGGGGGAACGAAUGACAGCCUUUGUAGUUGACCCAGAUGUUGAACAAAGUAGCUUUAGAAGAUCCUAGUUUUGUUCAAACGCGAAAAACGCUAGUAGAUAGAAGUCUGCAUCAUAAGCAUAGCGAAAUCAAUAUUUGUAUAUACAUGUGAUAAUGGCAGAGUCCAAGCGAUCUAGUCAAGCGUUUUCCAGGACAACCACGCUCGAUCAUGUUGUCACGCGCAAUGAACGUCGCCUCUUCUCUUCAGCCUCACCCGUCGUCACUCUGGUCCAUGGUUACGUCCAUGACCAUUUCGCAUGGCCAAGUUUAGCCAGAGACCAGUUGAGACGUGCGCAGUCUGUUGGAUUGCCUGUCUAAUAUUCUUUGGCGCAGUUAUGGAGAUGUGCUGCCUAAACUAGCCAUUACGUGACGGUUGCCAUAAUAGAAGCGUAUCUUUUCCCCCACAGAAAGACGAAUUUCGGCAGUAGGCCCCAUCCCUGCUCGCCUUGUUGAAGCGUUCGUUUUUCAUCAGGACUAAGUUUCAGCAUAGUGACAAGCACCGG
Long non-coding RNA from Varroa destructor (honeybee mite), 2550 nucleotides. Lineage: Eukaryota; Metazoa; Arthropoda; Arachnida; Mesostigmata; Varroidae. The record is from RefSeq and is a predicted model, not a curated record.